Molecule: ribosomal RNA, 406 nt
Filed under: uncultured bacterium
Lineage: Bacteria
Description: partial 16S ribosomal RNA
Rfam family: Bacterial small subunit ribosomal RNA
Source: RNAcentral
AUUGAACGCUGGCGGCAGGCCUAACACAUGCAAGUCGAACGAGUGGCGGAGGGGUGAGUAAUGUCUGGAAAACUGCCUGGGGGAGGGGGAUAACUACUGGAAACUGUAUCUAAUACCGCAUACCAUCGGAUGUGCACAGAUGGGAUGAGCUAGUAGGUGGGGUAAAGGCUCACCUAGGCGACGAUCCCUCGCUGGUCUGAGAGGAUGACCAGCCACACGGGAACUGAGACACGGUCCAGACUCCUACGGGAGGCAGCAGUGGGGAAUAUUGCACAAUGGGCGCAAGCCUGAUGCAGCCAUGCCGCGUGUAUGAAGAAGGCCUUCGGGUUGUAAAGUACUUUCAGCGGGGAGGCGUUACCCGCAGAAGAAGCACCGGCUAACUCCGUGCCAGCAGCCGCGGUAAUUC